Molecule: ribosomal RNA, 492 nt
Filed under: uncultured bacterium
Lineage: Bacteria
Description: partial 16S ribosomal RNA
Rfam family: Bacterial small subunit ribosomal RNA
Source: RNAcentral
AGUGAACGCUGGCGGUAGGCCUAACACAUGCAAGUCGAACGGCAGCACAGUAAGAGCUUGCUCUUACGGGUGGCGAGUGGCGGACGGGUGAGGAAUACAUCGGAAUCUACUUUUUCGUGGGGGAUAACGUAGGGAAACUUACGCUAAUACCGCAUACGACCUACGGGUGAAAGCAGUGGAUCUUCGGACCUUGCGCUAUUGAAUGAGCCGAUGUCGGAUUAGCUAGUUGGCGGGUUAAAGGCCCACCAAGGCGACGAUCCGUAUCUGGUCUGACAGGAUGAACAGCCAAACUGGAACUGAGAGACGGUCCAGACUCCUACGGGAGGCAGCAGUGGGGAAUAUUGGACAAUGGGCGCAAGCCUGAUCCAGCCAUACCGCGUGGGAGAAGAAGGCCUUCGGGUUGUAAAGCCCUUUUGUUGGGAAAGAAAAGCAGCAGGUUAAUACCCCGCUGUUCUGACGGUACCCAAAGAAUAAGCACCGGCUAACUUCGUG